UUUGCCAGGAUUAAACCCACGAUAUUUUACAAUUUGCAUGUGAACCCCGAUGAAGUGUUUCUAGGAGAUGGCUGUCCUGUAACCUAUGUUUUGCCAAAUGUCUACUAUGAGUUUUUCUACCAUCCUCAUGACUGCGGUAUUGUAACUCAACCUCUCAGGGGAGUUCUUCUGCUUAAAACAAAAAUUAAGUAUAUCUCAAGAGACUCUGCUGUCCGAGCUGAAAUGCCUCUGUCGUGUGUGGUCCGCAAUCAGCAUCCUCUUUUAAAUGUAGUUGAAACGAGAGAUGGGGAAACUGGCAAUGUUGAUGAAUGGGAGAUAGAGGUGAAGAUACAGAUUGCGAGUGAAGACACGGCAGUAACUUCUGCAACACAAUCUUGUGUCUAUAACCUGUUCUGAAACCUGGCUCCAGGUCAAACUUAGACGAACGCCACUGUUAAAUGACCUGCAACCUUUGCAAAACGAACUCUCUCUAGGAAUUGGCUGUCCUGUAAACAUGGUCGAGGUGGAUUUCUUUGGGUUCCUGUAUCUUCUAACUUUUUGUGGCAUCAGAGUGAGCGAACACGGAGUAGGUAUGCUCAUUGAAAGUUUAAUUGUGUAUGAGCCACCGAAUUUUGACUUCAAUUUACACAUCCCAGUAUCAUGCUAUGUGCAAAGAAGGUUUCCAAUAAUCUUAGUGAUGAGAAGGGGAGAGAAUGACAACCGUCGUGAAUGCAGAAGGUCAGUGGGACAGCACUGCUCACUAUCACGCAAACUUGAAGACUUGGGAAUCCGUCCAAGAGUGUCCUAUGUGAACAGUGUUCCCUUGUUGAGCUACUUAAUUGUAUCCCUUCCUAAGUGUAAGAACAAAGCUAUACAUUCUGGAUGAUGAGGCCACCCUAUUUCA
This is an RNA transcript of Mandrillus leucophaeus (drill), 883 nucleotides long. RefSeq lists it as uncharacterized. The transcript has 7 exons. Lineage: Eukaryota; Metazoa; Chordata; Mammalia; Primates; Cercopithecidae. The record is from RefSeq and is a predicted model, not a curated record.